RNAcentral lists this ribosomal RNA (253 nucleotides) under uncultured bacterium. RNAcentral describes it as "partial 16S ribosomal RNA". It matches the Rfam family "Bacterial small subunit ribosomal RNA", at positions 524 to 776 of the family's 1533-position model. The record is from RNAcentral.
UACAGAGGUGGCAAGCGUUGUUCGGAAUUACUGGGCGUAAAGGGCGCGUAGGCGGCCUUCUAAGUCGGACGUGAAAGCCCCAGGCUUAACCUGGGAACUGCGUCCGAUACUGGGAGGCUUGGACUCGGGAGAGGGAUGUGGAAUUCCAGGUGUAGCGGUGAAAUGCGUAGAUAUCUGGAGGAACACCGGUGGCGAAGGCGGCAUCCUGGACCGAGAUCGACGCUGAGGCGCGAAAGCUAGGGGAGCAAACGGG